AUUGAACGCUGGCGGCAGGCCUAACACAUGCAAGUCGAGCGAGCGGCGGACGGGUGAGUAAUGUCUGGGAAACUGCCUGAUGGAGGGGGAUAACUACUGGAAACGGUAGCUAAUACCGCAUACCCUCAGAUGUGCCCAGAUGGGAUUAGCUCGUAGGUGGGGUAACGGCUCACCUAGGCGACGAUCCCUAGCUGGUCUGAGAGGAUGACCAUCCACACUGGAACGGAGACACGGUCCAGACUCCUACGGGAGGAAGCAGUGGGGAAUAGUGCACAAUGGGCGCAAGCCUGAGGCAGCCAUGCCGCGUGGGUGACGAAGGCCGUCGGGGUGUAAAGCACUUUCAGCGGGGAGGCGUUACCCGCAGAAGAAGCACCGGCUAACUCCGUGCCAGCAGCCGCGGUAAUUC
RNAcentral lists this ribosomal RNA (406 nucleotides) under uncultured bacterium. RNAcentral's name for it is "partial 16S ribosomal RNA". It matches the Rfam family "Bacterial small subunit ribosomal RNA", at positions 29 to 526 of the family's 1533-position model. The record is from RNAcentral.